RNAcentral lists this ribosomal RNA (373 nucleotides) under Onthophagus tragus. RNAcentral describes it as "partial 16S ribosomal RNA". The record is from RNAcentral. Lineage: Eukaryota; Metazoa; Arthropoda; Insecta; Coleoptera; Scarabaeidae.
AUCGUGCAAAGGUAGCAUAAUAAUUAGUUUUUUAAUUGAGAACUGGAAUGAAAGGUUGAACGAGAAAAUUACUGUCUCAAUUCAAUUUAAAUUAGAAUUUUAUUUUUAAGUAAAAAAGCUUAAAUAAUUUUAGAAGACGAGAAGACCCUAUAGAGUUUUAUAUUUAUAGUAAUUAAUUUAAUUUUUAGAAUUUAAUUUUAAUAAUUUACUUUAAGUAUUUGGUUGGGGUGACUGAAAAAUUGAAUAAACUUUUUUUGAAAAAUUUUACAUUGAUAUAUGAUUAAUUGAUCCAUAUUUAUAUGAUUAAAAGAUUAAAUUACCUUAGGGAUAACAGCGUAAUUUUUUUUGAGAGUUCAUAUCGAAAAAAAAGUUU